UCCUCCCUCAAACCCCUGGGGUUUGGUGUUGGACCAGGAAGCGGCGCGAGCCCCCUCCGGUCUCAAAGACAAUGACGGCGUCCGUGGGACCCUCGGUGCAACGAGCUUUUCGGAGCACGCGUCGAGUGUGUGUGUCCCUCCGGGCCGGUCUCCCCUUUUUAUUUUACCA
This 169-nucleotide unclassified non-coding RNA is filed under the name uncultured Eurotiomycetes. RNAcentral's name for it is "sequence contains ITS2". Lineage: Eukaryota; Fungi; Ascomycota; Eurotiomycetes. The record is from RNAcentral.